Molecule: ribosomal RNA, 424 nt
Filed under: uncultured bacterium
Lineage: Bacteria
Description: partial 16S ribosomal RNA
Rfam family: Bacterial small subunit ribosomal RNA
Source: RNAcentral
AAUCUUGGACAAUUGGCGCAAGCCUGAUCCAGCCAUGCCGCGUCAGUGAAUAAGGCCUUCGGGUUGUAAAGCUCUUUUGGACGGAAAAAAAUCGCGCAGUUUAAUACCCUGUGCGGAUGACGGUACCGUCGUAAGAAGCCCCGGCUAACUACGUGCCAGUAGUCGUGGUAAUACGUAGGGUGCGAGUGUUAAUCGGAAUUACUGGGCGUAAAGCGUGCGCAGGCGGUUGAUUAAGACAGGCGUGAAAUCCCCGGGCUUAACCUGGGAACUGCGCUUGUGACUGGUCAGCUAGAGUACGGCAGAGGGGGGUGGAAUUCCACGUGUAGCAGUGAAAUGCGUAGAGAUGUGGAGGAACACCGAUGGCGAAGGCAGCCCCCUGGGCCGAUACUGACGCUCAUGCACGAAAGCGUGGGUAGCAAACAGG